UACAGAGGGGGCAAGCGUUAUUCGGAAUUAUUGGGCGUAAAGGGCGCGUAGGCGGCUUUUCAAGUGAGGGGUGAAAUCCCUCGGCUUAACCGAGGAACUGCCUGUCAGACUGGAAGGCUUGAGACCGGGAGAGGUGAGUGGAAUUCCCAGUGUAGCGGUGAAAUGCGUAGAUAUUGGGAGGAACACCAGUGGCGAAGGCGGCUCACUGGACCGGAACUGACGCUGAGGUGCGAAAGCGUGGGGAGCAAACAGG
This 253-nucleotide ribosomal RNA is filed under the name uncultured bacterium. RNAcentral's name for it is "partial 16S ribosomal RNA". It matches the Rfam family "Bacterial small subunit ribosomal RNA", at positions 524 to 776 of the family's 1533-position model. The record is from RNAcentral.